GUUCAUUCUACCAAUAUUGGUUCUGAACGUUAAUAAUUUGGGUGCUUUUAGAAACUUUUUCAGUGAACAAUCUUAUCCUGGAAAAAAAAUCCCAGCUUUGAUGUAAAUUAUAAAAAUGUAUACUUGUGAACCAUAUCUUGGAAUACACACAGAUGAGAGAGUUCUGCUGAUAACAAACAUGCCUAAUUGGAGAUAGGAAGAACAUCAAUCAUGCUCUAGCUAUAGUUUCUCUUCCUUUGAGCAGCCCUUAGUUUCUUUUUCUUAUAAGUGUUUUUCUUUUCCUUGCUUUCCUGAGAAGCUUAGACUAGUCUUUGGAAGACAAAAAAGUGCUUUUUUUCCUUCCGUCUGCAGCAUUACUCCUUGAAAUUAUCUGUCACUCUUUGCAUCAUGGAGACUUGCUGAGGGCCUGGUUUCCUAAUUUGACUAUUUUAGGUAGAGUUAUGUAGCCUCCUAAGUUCUGUCCAUGGUGGGAAACUACAGUUGCGUUUCACAGCUUUGAUUGCUACUGUACUAGAUAACUGAGAAGAGUCUGAGGAGAAAUACUGAACUCCUUGGG
This 556-nucleotide long non-coding RNA is filed under the name Bos taurus (domestic cattle). RNAcentral's name for it is "long non-coding RNA NONBTAT015924". Lineage: Eukaryota; Metazoa; Chordata; Mammalia; Artiodactyla; Bovidae. The record is from RNAcentral.